Long non-coding RNA from Hibiscus syriacus, 596 nucleotides. RefSeq lists it as uncharacterized. The transcript has 3 exons. NCBI's taxonomy places the organism in Eukaryota, Viridiplantae, Streptophyta, Magnoliopsida, Malvales, Malvaceae. The record is from RefSeq and is a predicted model, not a curated record.
UCUAAAUAAAAAAAACAAAACCCUAUCGUCGAAACCUUGUAGCAGUGCCGCUCCUCGUCUUCACCUCUGAUUUGUCGUCCCGUCUCGUAGGUAAGGUCGUUGUUCUUCGUUCAUGUACCUCGACAUUUCCCCAUCGCCAUCAUCGUCGUUGAACGGCAUCGGUUUGUGAAACCCGUGAGCCUUGGCUCGCUCUCGUCGCCGUGGGGGUCUCGCGUCGGUCGUGUAUGGUCGAGCACUCGUCGAGGAAGACUCGAACGACCUGGGUCGUGGCUGAACGACGUUGUUUGGCCGUGGAAAGCUUCUGCCGGUUGUUGCCCUCUUCCGUUGGCGUCGCCGAUAGCCAUUUAAUGUCAUGGCAGGGCUGAUCGUGGUAUCUUCGACCCAUGGAGACUACUGUCGGGAACCGAGUUACCUCGUCCGCCACUGUUGCCCGCGAACUUUGAACCGACCCGUAUUAAUCGUGUUGAGCGAAUUUAUUCGGUUCGAACUGUUGAUCGUGAUAGGUGCUACGACCGACAGUAGCUAUUUUUGUCAAGGUGUGUCUCUAUCUGGUGUUAAAUUAGUCUGCUAGAAUUGUUUGAUUGUCUGAAUUUGAG